Molecule: non-coding RNA, 2833 nt
Organism: Heterocephalus glaber (naked mole-rat)
Lineage: Eukaryota; Metazoa; Chordata; Mammalia; Rodentia; Bathyergidae
Source: RefSeq, a predicted model, not a curated record
UCAUUUAUAUUGAAUGUUAUUGUUAUGUUAUGCCUUUUAUCAACUUAGCUCUUCCAGUUCUCUUUGAUUUUCACUUUUAUAUGUUCUUUUUCUGUCUUAAUCUAUUUACUACUGCGUUACCAGAAUACUGCAGACUGGGUAAUUUGUAAAUGUAGGAAUUUCACUUUUCCAGUUCUAGUAGCUCAGAGAUCCAAGGUUGCAGGGACACACUGGUGAGGGGAAUGGCAUCUGACCAGAGUAGGCCCAGGGCCAGUCUCUUUUUCUAUAGUGAGCCCACCUGGUGACAACUGACCACUAUUGUCUUAGGAGCAUCAGUGCGUUCAUGGGAGUGAACCCUUUGGGACCUAAACUCUUCCUACUAGGCCACCUCUUCGUACAGUGGCAAUUAAAUUUCAACAUGACUAUUGGAGGGGACAUUCAGCCCAUUGCAUCUUCCUUCCUGUAGGCUGCUUAAACAAUUUCUUAAAAUUCUAUUUUGUUUUAUUUAUAGUAUUUUCAGCCUAUCUCAUAUCAAUAUGUAUCAUAUUAUACAAUAUCUAUACUACCUUAUAUAUACCCAACUUACGUGAAGACUGUUGGUGUUAAGAUUUGAUCAGCUUGAGGGGAAUGCAAGAACUAUAUCUUACUUUAGGUUCCUUUAACCUCUACCUUUUAUGAUUGUCUUCAAAAUUUCUUCUCCACUCAUUUAGAAUCAUAUUACAUAAUAGAAAAUGCUAGCAGAAAAAGAAAAUGGAUUGCCUUUGCUAUAUUUUUAUUUUUUCUGAUGUUCUUUUUCCAUCAUUAUUUCUUUUAUCAUUUCCUUUCUCUUUCGAGAACACCUACCGGCCAUUCAUUUUGGGCUGGUCUGCCUGGCAACAACUGUUUUUAGUUUUCCAUUAUCUGAGGAUAUCUUGAUUUUUCUUUCCUUGUCGAAGAAUAUUUUCAAGAGUACAGGACAAUCAUCGCUGACAUUCUCAGCUGACAGUGAUUUCCCACCAGCCCUGGCAGCAGGCUCCCUCACUUCUGCGAGCUUCCUGCCUUUGAGAUUGUUUCUCCCUACUGCAAUGAGUCAUUUCUCUCUUGCUGGUUCUAAUAUAUUUUCUUUUUGUUUCCAAAGGUUUGAUGUACAUUGUUGUGGAUUUCUUUGGAAUUACUCUUUUGUGGUUUUUUCAGCUUCUUGAAUCUGCUCUUCUAUCUUUUUUCCCCGCAAAUUUGGAAUUUUUUAGUCUUUGAGUGCUUUUUAGCUCUACUCUCUUCUUUCCAUUCAAGACCCCAACCGCACAAAUAUAGAUUUUUUAUUGUAUUCAGACAGGUUCCUGGGGCAGUGAUCAUUUUCUCACAGUCUAUGUUCUCCAGGUUCCAGACUGGGAAAGAUCUGUCCUCCAGUUCAUGGGUUAUUUCCUUUAUGUUCCUAUUCUAUUGAGGAUUCUUGUGUUUUGUUUCAUUUUUGCAGCAUGGUGGAUUGAAACAAGGGGCUUUGCCUUGAGUUACAUCCCAGCCCUUAUGGGAAGGAAACUUUAUUUUAUUUUGAGCCAUGUCCUCACUAUUUUGUUAGCUGGAAUUUGUGAUCCUCCUGCCUCAGUCUCCCAGAGUGCUGGGUUUAGAGGAAUGUGCCACCACACUUGCUAAAGAUUUUACUUGGGUUAUUAUAUUUUUCAGUUCUGAAGUUCCAGUGUAUUUUUUCUUUAAAUCUCCUAUUCAUUUUAGCUUAUAUUUGUCUUUUCUUGUCUUAUUUUAUUUUAUGAUAUGAACAUUUCACACUAGCUAAACACUCUGGACAAACUUCUAAGUGUAUAAUACAUUAGUGUUGACUAUAGGUAUGAUGUUGUAUAAUAGAUCUCCAGAGCUUGUUAAUUUUGCCUACAACUUUAUAUUCAUUAACCAAUGAGUCCUUAUUUUCUCUUUCCUGUCCUAGACCUUGGAAACAAUCAUUCCAAACUUUGAUUCUAUGAAUUGGACUAUUUAAAAAUGCAUCAUUUAAGUGUAAUCAUGCAGUUGACCUACUCAUGUGGGCGUAAGGCUUCUUACAUUUUUAAAGAGUUGUUCUGUGACUAACAUGCAAUAUGUCCUUGGGAAAAACCCACAUGAACCUGAGAAGAAUGUGCAUUCUGCUGCUGCUGGAAUAAUGUUCUGUAUGCAUGCAUCAUUACCAUUUGGUCUGGAGUGUAUUAUGCAGCACUCUGAGAAGGUAAAAAAGGUGCAUCCCCAUCUUCAUCAGGGGAGCAAAAUUGCCAUGUUUUCCACUUCGCCACAUUGACAUCUGAGGGAGGCUCUGCUAUUCCUGGGUGCAGGUCGAACUCUGGCUCGUCCUUUGAUUUCCACUGCUGUGCCCCAGCUGUCACGAGUGUGUUAAUGCAGCCUGUGUGUCCUGCACUGACACAGCAGCUGGAGGCAGUGGGAAAGCCCUGGAUCCCUGCAUGCCUCAUGGACCUCAUCCCAGGGUGGAGUAGGACUAGUGCCUCAUGACUGCAGCUGGACGGAAGCUCUGGUUUCCCUGAGUCUCCUUGAUGUCUCAGAGCUCUGAGGUCUUCUCACAAGCAGACAGACAGUGCUGGUUUCCUCUUCCCUCUCUGACACCACUGAGGGCAGCUGAUGACGGUGACAAUCCAGGCUCCUCGCUGAAGCUUUGCUCUGGGCAGGGUGGCACCACAGCCUGUUCUGCAGUGUUUGGCUGGAGUAGAGCAGAGUCUGUCUCCAAGUUCGCUGUCUUGCUGGGCGGCCCCUUCGGUGAGCUGCUGGCUGAAGAGAAAAGGCUUCCAGGAGGCAUUGCUGUGGUUGUCUGCACUUGUUGGCAUUUCUGGGUGGCCACGUUCUUCACUGCAUAUGCGAGGUUUAUAAAGCAAAAAGAAAAUCC